AAAGAUCCCUGCCACAGUGCUGUAGGAACUGCUACAAUAAUUGAACAGUAUAAUGAGGACCUGAAGGGAUAUUUAACACCUCCAGAUAGUGCUUCCAAACCUGAGCUAUCUUAUUUAGGAAUAAAUCUCCAGGAUGCUGCCUGCCCUCCUGACAGAAGGCUGGGACAACUCACAUUUCAAGGUGACAACCUGAGCUAUUGGCCAUCAGCUGAACAGACCUACAGCGAGCAGCGGGCUCUGAUAUCACUGAUAACACUUCAGGCACCUAAAAUUACCACGCUGAGUUACCCCGCUACAACAGCUGAUACACAAGCACAAACUACAGAGAAGCUCAGUAGUCUGACCUGCUGCAGGAUAACUCAACCUACAGAUAGUGAAUGUCAUCAUCGUUCAGAGGUUCAGAGCAGGGAAUACAAAGCAAAGGCACGUGAAGUUUCCCUGGCAGCAAGACUUGAUGUCUUCAUCGAUGCAGCAAAGCUACAGGACGCUUUAAAUGCUCCAUUUGGGAAAAAUGCUGUAAUUAGAAGCUUUAAUUCAGCAAACUGUCCCUGUGAAACCAAUUGGGUAGCAAACAGGCGUCGCUCUUGGCUGCUGGAGCAAACCCCUCAGAACAGCUCCAAAGGAUGGCACAGCACCCACCCACGCAGCAGCAGCACCAGGGACACCAAGGGGACACCCGGGAUUCCAGGAGCUCAACUCUGCAAACCAAAAUCCUCCCAGGCAACGUGACAGGCUGGGGUUUAAAGCUAAAGAGCGAGCGGCAGGAAAUCCAAACGGAACAAAAAGCUUCUACCUGGAACAAAAUCAAUCCACCCAAGGAGGCGGCCUGGGCACCAAGGGGCAGCUUUCCCAGUCUAGAUAAUUUUAGCAGACAAGCAAAAUGAAGUUUCUACAAAGCUACUCCUGAGCAGCCACAGCUACAUCAGGUAGGCUGUACAGCUACAAAGAUGAUAACACGAGGAGCAUGCAGCAGUUCACCUGCAAGGGCAGGAAAGGAGACUUCUGGUGUGGAUCUGCUGAGCUGGGAUGAGCACAAAGAGCCAGCAGAAGGCAAGACCCGUGACUCUCAGAACGCCCAAGACCUCUAUAGAAUAUAUAUAUAGGUAGACAAAUACAGAUAUAUGCUCUUUAUCAGUGAACAGGCAGCAGCCUGACACCUGCCUGGCUCCUGUCAUGGAGCUAGAAUUUGUAUCAAAACAGAACUGCCAGUUUUUACCCCAGACUGACUCCCAGGAGCCCUCCCAGAUGAGCAAUUCAAGCUGACACAGCCACUAUUUCAGAGCGCUGGUUUUGAAGAGUAUCAUGGAGGCUUUUCUCCACUUAAGAAAGACUUCACCACGUGUUCUGCACUGUAUUUUUGUACUUCUGACUCACAACCAAAUUAACUCAGUUGUCAUCAAGCCCAGCGAUGAAAAGAAGCACAAAACCUUCCAGCAUCCCUUUUCCCAAGCAGCUGCUGAAGGUCUGCCCUGCCUGAAAGCUCCACAAAGUUUCAACUCCUUCAAAUGCUGCUCAGAAUCAUUUCCUUGGGUGUUUCUAUUUGUUGUUUCAGCCUAAACCAGAUCAAAUGGUCUUAAAAUAAGCUUGGUUGCUCCCAUCUAAAAUAAUUGUUGAAGAAAACCCCUUGUUCACUCAUGACAGACUCGGCAUCAACACAUAAAAAUAAUAUCUUGACAUGGUUACAAGUGGGGUGUUAAACUCCAACAGUUUUUUUGAGCAGAGUUAAUGCAUUCCAAAAAGGAUUACAGUAAAUUAGCUGAAUUACUCAGAGGUAACUACUUUUUUGCGGGGGGAGGUUGUUUGGCUUAAGUUCUUCCAGGGUUUUCAGCAAUUCCAAGCAGAUAAACACAUCAUUGAUCUGCACUGUUACCUGCUGUGGUCCGACCCCAGGACCCAGGUCUCUCAGAGCUAGAAGAGUUUAUAUUCACAUCUGACAGGGAGCUGGAGCUCUACAAUCUGCUUCAGGCUACGUGUCAGCAGCUGGAGCUGAGAGGAAAUCAGCUGAUGAACUUUAUGUCAGGAGGAAAAACAGCUUUGGCAUAACCUUCACAGAGAAUUCCUGUCUCAGGGGGUUUGGCACUUUAAAGAAUUAUUAUUUUAUAAAGUUCAACCAUCUCUAAUAUCCAGGAUUGUUUCCGUGUCCUGAAGUACAGCAAACAUCUGCUGCACAACACUGAAGGUGACAGAGCACUUGUAUUCCAAGUGACUAGAAUAAACUUGAUUCAAAUCACA
This 2232-nucleotide long non-coding RNA is filed under the name Cyanistes caeruleus (blue tit). RNAcentral describes it as "lncRNA (ENSCCEG00000022998.1)". Lineage: Eukaryota; Metazoa; Chordata; Aves; Passeriformes; Paridae. The record is from RNAcentral.